This 76-nucleotide transfer RNA is filed under the name Persephonella marina EX-H1. RNAcentral describes it as "tRNA-Lys (TTT) (tRNA-Lys-TTT-1-1)". It matches the Rfam family "tRNA". Rfam says of the family: Transfer RNA (tRNA) molecules are approximately 80 nucleotides in length. Their secondary structure includes four short double-helical elements and three loops (D, anti-codon, and T loops). The record is from RNAcentral. RNAcentral also lists the same sequence under 2 other names. Lineage: Bacteria; Pseudomonadati; Aquificota; Aquificia; Aquificales; Hydrogenothermaceae.
GAGCCGCUAGCUCAGUUGGUAGAGCACCGGUCUUUUAAACCGGUGGUCCUGGGUUCGACCCCCAGGCGGCUCACCA